UCGGGAAUUUUGGGCAAUGGGGGAAACCCUGACCCAGCAACGCCGCGUGAAGGAUGAAGUAUUUCGGUAUGUAAACUUCGAAAGAAUAGGAAGAAUAAAUGACGGUACUAUUUAUAAGGUCCGGCUAACUACGUGCCAGCAGCCGCGGUAAUACGUAGGGACCAAGCGUUGUUCGGAUUUACUGGGCGUAAAGAGCUCGUAGGCGGUUGCGUAAGUCGGAUGUGAAAACUCAGGGCUCAACCCUGAGACGCCAUCCGAUACUGCGCUGACUUGAAUCCAGUAGGGGAGUGCGGAAUUCCUGGUGUAGCGGUGAAAUGCGCAGAUAUCAGGAGGAACACCCAUGGCGAAGGCAGCACUCUGGGCUGGUAUUGACGCUGAGGAGCGAAAGCAUGGGUAGCGAACAGGAUUAGAUACCCCCCGUAGUCCCUGAGCGGGCUGGCAAGGCGCAU
This 449-nucleotide ribosomal RNA is filed under the name uncultured bacterium. RNAcentral's name for it is "bacterial SSU rRNA". It matches the Rfam family "Bacterial small subunit ribosomal RNA", at positions 355 to 825 of the family's 1533-position model. The record is from RNAcentral.